UAUAUUUUGAUGUAAUUUGCAUAUAAAAUUUUGAAUUUUAAGGGAUUAAGAAUAUUAAUAAAUAUAA
This 67-nucleotide transfer RNA is filed under the name Andrena cineraria. RNAcentral's name for it is "tRNA-Gln". Lineage: Eukaryota; Metazoa; Arthropoda; Insecta; Hymenoptera; Andrenidae. The record is from RNAcentral.